UACGUAGGGUGCGAGCGUUAAUCGGAAUUACUGGGCGUAAAGCGUGCGCAGGCGGUUAUACAAGACAGGCGUGAAAUCCCCGGGCUUAACCUGGGAAUGGCGUCUGUGACUGUAUAGCUAGAGUGUGUCAGAGGGGGGUGGAAUUCCACGUGUAGCAGUGAAAUGCGUAGAUAUGUGGAGGAACACCAAUGGCGAAGGCAGCCCCCUGGGAUAACACUGACGCUCAGGCACGAAAGCGUGGGGAGCAAACAGG
This 253-nucleotide ribosomal RNA is filed under the name uncultured microorganism. RNAcentral describes it as "partial 16S ribosomal RNA". It matches the Rfam family "Bacterial small subunit ribosomal RNA", at positions 524 to 776 of the family's 1533-position model. The record is from RNAcentral.